RNAcentral lists this ribosomal RNA (468 nucleotides) under uncultured bacterium. RNAcentral's name for it is "partial 16S ribosomal RNA". It matches the Rfam family "Bacterial small subunit ribosomal RNA", at positions 28 to 507 of the family's 1533-position model. The record is from RNAcentral.
GAUGAACGCUGGCGGCGUGCUUAACACAUGCAAGUCGAACGGAAAGGCCCAAGCUUGCUUGGGUACUCGAGUGGCGAACGGGUGAGUAACACGUGGGUGAUCUGCCCUUCACUUCGGGAUAAGCCUGGGAAACUGGGGCUAAUACCGGAUAGGACCACUUCUUGGAUGUUGUGGUGGAAAGUUUUUUCGGUGUGGGAUGAGCUCGCGGCCUAUCAGCUUGUUGGUGGGGUAAUGGCCUACCAAGGCGUCGACGGGUAGCCGGCCUGAGAGGGUGUACGGCCACAUUGGGACUGAGAUACAGCCCGGACUCCUACGGGAGGCAGCAGUGGGGAAUAUUGCACAAUGGGAGCAAGCGUGAUGCAGCGACGCCGCGUGGGGGAUGACGGCCUUCGGGUUGUAAACUCCUAUCGCUAGGGACGAAGCGUUUUUGUGACGGUACCUGGAGAAGAAGCACCGGCUAACUACGUG